Molecule: unclassified non-coding RNA, 212 nt
Filed under: Hevea brasiliensis (rubber tree)
Lineage: Eukaryota; Viridiplantae; Streptophyta; Magnoliopsida; Malpighiales; Euphorbiaceae
Source: RNAcentral
UCUGGUUUUCUUGCUUUAUUCUUCUUACAAGGCAAAGGUAGCAGCAGCCUUGGACCGUGCAAAAGCAAAAUCCUUGAUUCUUUUGAUUUAUGUACGAGAUCACACGCCCCCCGGGCGGUUGGAUUAUAAUACUGGUAUUGAAGUAAUCAUCUCGACUCUGGAAAUUUUGCACAUUGUUAUAUUUUUUUUAUUGGGGUUUGAUUGUAAUCGAG